Molecule: transfer RNA, 72 nt
Filed under: Marmota marmota marmota (Alpine marmot)
Lineage: Eukaryota; Metazoa; Chordata; Mammalia; Rodentia; Sciuridae
Also listed under: 1 other name
Rfam family: tRNA
About the family: Transfer RNA (tRNA) molecules are approximately 80 nucleotides in length. Their secondary structure includes four short double-helical elements and three loops (D, anti-codon, and T loops).
Source: Rfam by way of RNAcentral
GGGGAUGUAGCUCAAUGUUAGAACACCAACUGAGCAUGUUUGAGGUCCUGAGUUCAAUCCCCAGUAUCUUCA